GAUGAACGCUGGCUACAGGCUUAACACAUGCAAGUCGAGGGGAAACGACAGGGAAGCUUGCUUCCUUGGGCGUCGACCGGCGCACGGGUGAGUAACGCGUAUCCAACCUGCCUCUGACUGAGGGAUAACCCGUCGAAAGUCGGCCUAAUACCUCAUGGCAUCGUCUGCGGGCAUCCAACGACGAUUAAAGAUUUCAUCGGUCAGGGAUGGGGAUGCGUCUGAUUAGCUUGUUGGCGGGGUAACGGCCCACCAAGGCUACGAUCAGUAGGGGUUCUGAGAGGAAGGUCCCCCACAUUGGAACUGAGACACGGUCCAAACUCCUACGGGAGGCAGCAGUGAGGAAUAUUGGUCAAUGGGCGGGAGCCUGAACCAGCCAAGUAGCGUGCAGGAAGACGGCCCUAUGGGUUGUAAACUGCUUUUAUGCGGGGAUAAAGUGAGGGACGUGUCCUUCAUUGCAGGUACCGCA
This 466-nucleotide ribosomal RNA is filed under the name Segatella oris. RNAcentral's name for it is "bacterial SSU rRNA". It matches the Rfam family "Bacterial small subunit ribosomal RNA", at positions 28 to 482 of the family's 1533-position model. The record is from RNAcentral. Lineage: Bacteria; Pseudomonadati; Bacteroidota; Bacteroidia; Bacteroidales; Prevotellaceae.